GACGAACGCUAGCGGCGUGCCUAAACUAUGCAAGUCGAGCGGGGUACAGCGCAGAAUCUCCUUCGGGAGUGGACGUGCUGCUACCUAGCGGCGAACGGGUGAGUAACGCGUGAGGAACCUGCCCCACUGUCUGGGAUAACCGACCGAAAGGUCAGCUAAUACCGGAUAUGAGGCACCAUCGCAUGAUGGAGCCUGGAAAGGGGAAACCCGCAGCGGGAGGGCCUCGCGACCUAUCAGCUUGUUGGUGAGGUAACGGCUCACCAAGGCGACGACGGGUAGCCGGCCUGAGAGGGUGUCCGGCCACACUGGGACUGAGACACGGCCCAGACUCCUACGGGAGGCAGCAAGUGGGAAUAUUGCGCAAUGGGCGAAAGCCUGACGCAGCGACGCCGCGUGAGGGAUGAAAGCCUUCGGGUUGUAAACCUCUGUUGACGGGGACGAAGAUCUGACGGUACCCGUCGAGGAAGCCCCGGCUAACUCCGUG
This 484-nucleotide ribosomal RNA is filed under the name uncultured bacterium. Its description in RNAcentral is "bacterial SSU rRNA". It matches the Rfam family "Bacterial small subunit ribosomal RNA", at positions 28 to 507 of the family's 1533-position model. The record is from RNAcentral.